RNAcentral lists this ribosomal RNA (220 nucleotides) under uncultured bacterium. Its description in RNAcentral is "partial 16S ribosomal RNA". It matches the Rfam family "Bacterial small subunit ribosomal RNA", at positions 524 to 743 of the family's 1533-position model. The record is from RNAcentral.
UACGAAGGGGGCUAGCGUUGCUCGGAAUUACUGGGCGUAAAGCGCACGUAGGCGGCUUUCUAAGUCGGGGGUGAAAUCCUGGAGCUCAACUCCAGAACUGCCUUCGAUACUGGAGAGCUCGAGUCCGGGAGAGGUGAGUGGAACUGCGAGUGUAGAGGUGAAAUUCGUAGAUAUUCGCAAGAACACCAGUGGCGAAGGCGGCCCACUGGCCCGGUACUGA